UACGGAGGGAGCUAGCGUUGUUCGGAAUUACUGGGCGUAAAGCGCACGUAGGCGGCUUUGUCAGUUAGAGGUGAAAGCCCGGGGCUCAACCCCGGAAUUGCCUUUAAGACUGCAUCGCUUGAAUCCAGGAGAGGUGAGUGGAAUUCCGAGUGUAGAGGUGAAAUUCGUAGAUAUUCGGAAGAACACCAGUGGCGAAGGCGGCUCACUGGACUGGUAUUGACGCUGAGGUGCGAAAGCGUGGGGAGCAAACAGG
RNAcentral lists this ribosomal RNA (253 nucleotides) under uncultured bacterium. RNAcentral's name for it is "partial 16S ribosomal RNA". It matches the Rfam family "Bacterial small subunit ribosomal RNA", at positions 524 to 776 of the family's 1533-position model. The record is from RNAcentral.